Molecule: transfer RNA, 69 nt
Filed under: Rattus norvegicus (Norway rat)
Lineage: Eukaryota; Metazoa; Chordata; Mammalia; Rodentia; Muridae
Rfam family: tRNA
About the family: Transfer RNA (tRNA) molecules are approximately 80 nucleotides in length.
Source: Rfam by way of RNAcentral
GGGGAUUUAGCUCAGUGGUAGAGCGCUUGCCUUUGAAGCGCAAGGCCCUGGGUUCGGUCCCCAGCUCUG